GGAUGAACGCUGGCGGCGUGCCUAACACAUGCAAGUCGAGCGGCAGCGAGGGGUGCUUGCACCCUGUCGGCGAGCGGCGGACGGCUGAGUAACGCGUGGGAACGUGCCCCAAAGUGAGGAAUAACUGCCCGAAAGGGUAGCUAAUACCGCAUAUUAUCUUCGGAUCAAAGGAUUUAUCCGCUUUGGGAGCGGCUCGCGUCGGAUUAGGUAGUUGGUGAGGUAAUGGCUCACCAAGCCGACGAUCCGUAGCUGGUCUGAGAGGAUGACCAGCCAGACUGGAACUGAGACACGGUCCAGACUCCUACGGGAAGCAGCAGUGAGGAAUCUUCCACAAUGGGCGAAAGCCUGAUGGAGCAACGCCGCGUGCAGGACGAAGGCCUUCGGGUUGUAAACUGCUUUUAUAAGUGAGGAAUAUGACGGUAACUUAUGAAUAAGGAUCGGCUAACUACGUG
RNAcentral lists this ribosomal RNA (452 nucleotides) under uncultured bacterium. Its description in RNAcentral is "partial 16S ribosomal RNA". It matches the Rfam family "Bacterial small subunit ribosomal RNA", at positions 27 to 507 of the family's 1533-position model. The record is from RNAcentral.